Molecule: transfer RNA, 71 nt
Filed under: Anaerolineae bacterium
Lineage: Bacteria; Bacillati; Chloroflexota; Anaerolineae
Rfam family: tRNA
About the family: Transfer RNA (tRNA) molecules are approximately 80 nucleotides in length. Their secondary structure includes four short double-helical elements and three loops (D, anti-codon, and T loops).
Source: Rfam by way of RNAcentral
GGGCGAGUAGCUCAGCCGGUUAGAGCGCACGGUUCACAUCCGUGAGGUCGGGGGUUCGGCCUCUUCGCCCA